GACGAACGCUGGCGGCGUGCCUAAUACAUGCAAGUCGAACGAUAACGACCGGUGCUUGCACUUGUCACUCUAGUGGCGAACGGGUUAGUAACACGUUGGUAACCUGCCCAUCAGAUUGGGAUAACAUCCGUAAACGGAUGCUAAAACCGCAUAGUUCUUCGAGCCGCAUGGCUUGAUCCGGAAAAGAGUCUCUCCUUUCUGCUGUUGUUUGGUCCCGCGGUGCAUUAGCUAGUUUGUGAGGUAACGGCUCCACAUGGCCGUGAUGCAUAGCCGACCUGAGAGGGUGAUCGGCCACACUGGGACUGAGACACGGGCCAAACUCCUACGGGAGGCAGCAGUAGGGAAUCUACCGCAAUGGGCGAAAGACUGACGGAGAAACGCCGCGUGAGUGAAGAAGGGUUUCGGAUCGUAAAACUCUGUUGUUAGAGAAGAACAAGUGCGAGAGUAACUGUGAGCGGCUUGACGGUAUCUAACCAGAAAGCCACGGCUAACUACGUG
This 498-nucleotide ribosomal RNA is filed under the name uncultured bacterium. RNAcentral describes it as "partial 16S ribosomal RNA". It matches the Rfam family "Bacterial small subunit ribosomal RNA", at positions 28 to 507 of the family's 1533-position model. The record is from RNAcentral.